GACGAACGCUGGCGGCGUGCUUAACACAUGCAAGUCGAACGGAAAGGCCCUGCUUUUGUGGGGUGCUCGAGUGGCGAACGGGUGAGUAACACGUGAGUAACCUGCCCUUGACUUUGGGAUAACUUCAGGAAACUGGGGCUAAUACCGGAUAGGAGCUCCUGCUGCUUGGUGGGGGUUGGAAAGUUUCGGCGGUUGGGGAUGGACUCGCGGCUUACCAGCUUGUUGGUGGGGUAGUGGCUUACCAAGGCUUUGACGGGUAGCCGGCCUGAGAGGGUGACCGGCCACAUUGGGACUGAGAUACGGCCCAGACUCCUACGGGAGGCAGCAGUGGGGAAUAUUGCACAAUGGGCGGAAGCCUGAUGCAGCAACGCCGCGUGCGGGAUGACGGCCUUCGGGUUGUAAACCGCUUUCGCCUGUGACGAAGCGUGAGUGACGGUAAUGGGUAAAGAAGCACCGGCUAACUACGUG
This 468-nucleotide ribosomal RNA is filed under the name uncultured bacterium. Its description in RNAcentral is "partial 16S ribosomal RNA". It matches the Rfam family "Bacterial small subunit ribosomal RNA", at positions 28 to 507 of the family's 1533-position model. The record is from RNAcentral.